Molecule: long non-coding RNA, 1145 nt
Organism: Erinaceus europaeus (western European hedgehog)
Lineage: Eukaryota; Metazoa; Chordata; Mammalia; Eulipotyphla; Erinaceidae
Exons: 3
Source: RefSeq, a predicted model, not a curated record
CGCUCGCCCACCCUAAGUGUGCAGCCUCCCGGGCAGUGAGGGGGCACUGCCCCUGGUCCCCCGGAGUCCCCUCCCCGCCGUCAGGAAGGAGGGGAAAUAGGCAAAAGGGUUGGGGGAGGGGAAGAGGAAUGGUUGUCAAAGGGAAUGAGUGGCCUGGAGACACAGGUCACACUUUGAGUAGGACGCGAUACCACGGUGACUCCGGACAGAGUGAGUGCCUGUGCACUCAAAGGAGAGAGAGAGACCCCAGCUAGUCCUGGCUUGGGGGGAUGCAGGUAGGUUUGGGAGACUCCAGACUGUGGAGCUGUCCUCUUCUUGACACAUAACUGAAAAUAAUGGCCAUGGGAAACAAGUAACCAGAGCACUGCUCAUCUCCAGCUGAUGGUGGUAUGGGAGACUGAACCUGGGGCUUUGGAGCCUCAGAGGCAGAAGUUCAGAAGAAAGGGAAAAGAGAGCACUACUUCACUGCUGCUUGAAAACUUCCCUACGCAGGUGGGGACUGGGGCGCUUGAACCUGGGUCCAUGUGCACUGAAAUGUGUGUGCUCUGUUAGGUGUGCCACCACCACAGGAUUUAUUUCAUGUGAGGCAGAGACAAAGAGAAAUGGAUGCCAAGCAGGGAGAGAGCACAUACUGGAGUUGAAACAGGGAUCCUCAAGCAUGCAGGUCUCCAGCUACUCCAAUGGAGUUAACCACCCGCCAACACACAGACACACACAGACACCCACACAGACACACACACACACACACACACACACACACACAGACACACACACACACACACGCUACCCCUUGAUGGAAGCUUUUGAUUUUGUUUGGAACCCGUCCCAAGUCUCCUGGUCCCACAAGCUGUGGUCCCAGUGCAAGAAAAGAAAAGUCUGGAAACUGAACAAGGCGGCAUUGUGCACUGAAGGCAGUUUCUGAAAGGGAUUUUCAGGAAAGGAGAAAGAAAGUUAAAAAUCAUUCAGACAGUAAAAGCAACAUCUGAAAUAAGCAGUGUAGGCUGAGUCGAGGGUUUUGGUUUUCAAGCCAUCCCUUUGACUUUUACUCUGGCUUUAAAUAUGAAAUAGAUUCCUGGCUUUUGACAAUGACAGAGGAGCGGGAGUGGCCUCAGGGGUCUCUCUCUUUCUCAGGUGUGUGUGUGUGU